RNAcentral lists this ribosomal RNA (497 nucleotides) under uncultured bacterium. RNAcentral's name for it is "partial 16S ribosomal RNA". It matches the Rfam family "Bacterial small subunit ribosomal RNA", at positions 28 to 507 of the family's 1533-position model. The record is from RNAcentral.
GAUGAACGCUGGCGGCGUGCCUAAUACAUGCAAGUCGAGCGAACAGAUGAGGAGCUUGCUCCUCUGACGUUAGCGGCGGACGGGUGAGUAACACGUGGAUAACCUACCUAUAAGACUGGGAUAACUUCGGGAAACCGGAGCUAAUACCGGAUAAUAUAUUGAACCGCAUGGUUCAAUAGUGAAAGACGGAUUUGCUGUCACUUAUAGAUGGAUCCGCGCCGCAUUAGCUAGUUGGUAAGGUAACGGCUUACCAAGGCAACGAUGCGUAGCCGACCUGAGAGGGUGAUCGGCCACACUGGAACUGAGACACGGUCUAGACUCCUACGGGAGGCAGCAGUAGGGAAUCUUCCGCAAUGGGCGAAAGCCUGACGGAGCAACGCCGCGUGAGUGAUGAAGGUCUUCGGAUCGUAAAACUCUGUUAUUAGGGAAGAACAAAUGUGUAAGUAACUAUGCACGUCUUGACGGUACCUAAUCAGAAAGCCACGGCUAACUACGUG